GCCCGCGUGGCACAAUUGGUCAGCGCGUGAGACUUUUAUGAUAAAAUAAUCUCAAGGUUGAGAGUUCGAGCCUCUCCGCGGGCG
This 84-nucleotide transfer RNA is filed under the name Exophiala dermatitidis. RNAcentral's name for it is "tRNA-Lys". It matches the Rfam family "tRNA". From Rfam's summary of the family: Transfer RNA (tRNA) molecules are approximately 80 nucleotides in length. RNAcentral also lists the same sequence under 1 other name. Lineage: Eukaryota; Fungi; Ascomycota; Eurotiomycetes; Chaetothyriales; Herpotrichiellaceae. The record is from RNAcentral.